Molecule: ribosomal RNA, 460 nt
Filed under: uncultured bacterium
Lineage: Bacteria
Description: partial 16S ribosomal RNA
Rfam family: Bacterial small subunit ribosomal RNA
Source: RNAcentral
CCUACGGGAGGCAGCAGUGAGGAAUAUUGGUCAAUGGGCGCGAGCCUGAACCAGCCAAGUCGCGUGAGUGAUGACGGCCCUACGGGUUGUAAACCUCUUUUGCCGGGGAGCAACAGGCGCCACGUGUGGCGUCACUGCUAGUACCCGGCUAAAAAGCAUCGGCUAACUCCGUGCCAGCAGCCGCGGUAAUACGUAGGAUGCGAGCGUUAUCCGUAUGUAUUGGGUUUACAGGGUUCGUAGGCGGAUCGUUAAGUCAGUGGUCAAAUGUAGGGGCCAAACCCCUUCCCGCCAUUGAAACUGGAGUUCUUGAGUGGAAGAGAAGUAUGCGGAAUGCGAGGUGUAGCGGUGAAAUGCACAGAUAUCACGCAGAACCCCGAUUGCGAAGGCAGCAUGCCGGCUUCCGACUGACGCUGAAGCACGAAAGCGUGGGGAUCGAACAGGAUUAGAUACCCUUGUAGUC